UAGGCAGAGGCCAGUGGGUUUAGGCGUUUAGCUGUUAACUAAAAUUUUGCGGGAUCGAAGCCCGUCUGUCUAG
RNAcentral lists this transfer RNA (73 nucleotides) under Sibirionetta formosa (Baikal teal). RNAcentral describes it as "tRNA-Asn". The record is from RNAcentral. Lineage: Eukaryota; Metazoa; Chordata; Aves; Anseriformes; Anatidae.